This 594-nucleotide unclassified non-coding RNA is filed under the name Hevea brasiliensis (rubber tree). The record is from RNAcentral. Lineage: Eukaryota; Viridiplantae; Streptophyta; Magnoliopsida; Malpighiales; Euphorbiaceae.
UUUGGUGGCCCAUGGAUAAGCAGUGAGUACUCUCUUGAUAUCUUUGUCUCCCCUCCUCCAACUUUAUUUUAUUUAUUUAUUUAAUGGUGGGAGGGAUGGGGGGCAAGACUCUUCAUUUAUUCGCAAGACUCUUCAUUUAUUCAAUGUCAAAAUUUUGUUGAAAAUAAUGUUCCUGGAUUUCCUUCAAGGCUUUGUUUGAUUUUUUUAUGCACCAAGUUCAUGUGCCUGUCUUAAUUUUUGAUCUUUGCUGGUGUGCUUAUCAAACCAUCUAAGGCAACUCUUUUUGUGAGUGACUCAUGAACUCUGCUGCUUUUCCUGAUUUACUUUUUUGUAUUUUAUUACUCUAUUACAAGAUGCUCAACUCUGCUAAUACUUUUUCUGGUUGUUAUCUAAAAAGAAGAUGCACACAACUGUAGAUAGUAUUGGGUGUUAAUGUGAUGUUGGGUAGAUGUUAAGUUCAAAAACUGUAGAGUUGGAAUUGUGACUACAGAGGCUUUCCUUUUGUUCCAGCAAAAUGUAAAAUGUUUAUAUCUAGUAUUUGGAAUUAUGUCCUCAUGUUGUAUUAUUUUGCUUUAAUCAACAGGUUUUAUGAAG